GUGUCAGUCGCCGCGGUAAUACGUAGGGGCCGAGCGUUGUCCGGAGUUACUGGGCGUAAAGCGCGCGCAGGCGGCUCGUCAAGCCUGACGUGAAAGCCCCCGGCUCAACCGGGGAGGGUCGUCGGGGACUGGCGAGCUUGAGGUCGGCAGGGGCUGGUGGAAUUCCCGGUGUAGUGGUGAAAUGCGUAGAGGUCGGGAGGAACACCCGUGGCGAAGGCGGCCAGCUGGGCCGGACCUGACGCUGAGGCGCGAAGGCGUGGGGAGCGAACGGGAUUAGAUACCCCGGUAGUCCACGCAGUAAACGAUGCAGACUAGGCGUGGGGGGACUUGACCCCCUCCGUGCCGAAGCCAACGCGUGAAGUCUGCCGCCUGGGGAGUACGGCCGCAAGGCUAAAACUUAAAGGAAUUGACGG
This 413-nucleotide ribosomal RNA is filed under the name uncultured bacterium. RNAcentral describes it as "bacterial SSU rRNA". It matches the Rfam family "Bacterial small subunit ribosomal RNA", at positions 505 to 916 of the family's 1533-position model. The record is from RNAcentral.